AAGUCGUAACAAGGUUUCCGUAGGUGAACCUGCGGAAGGAUCAUUAAAAUCAGUAGUUUACUACUGUUUGAGGGAAGUGGAAACUUUUCAGGUACACCUGGAAAGAAGUACAUUUCUUUUCUUAACCCUUGACUUUUUGCGCACUUAUGUUUCCUCGGCAGGCUUGCCUGUCGUUUGGACAAUUCCAAAACCUUUUUAAUUUUCAAAUCAGCGUCUGAAUUAUUUAAUAAUUACAACUUUCAACAACGGAUCUCUUGGUUCUG
Molecule: unclassified non-coding RNA, 263 nt
Filed under: air metagenome
Description: partial contains small subunit ribosomal RNA, internal transcribed spacer 1, and 5.8S ribosomal RNA
Rfam family: Eukaryotic small subunit ribosomal RNA (bases 1-46)
Source: RNAcentral